GCCAGUAGCUCAGCCUGGAAGACCGCUCGGUUGACAUCCGAGAGGACCCGGGUUCAAAUCCCGGCCGCGGCACCA
RNAcentral lists this transfer RNA (75 nucleotides) under Desulfurococcales archaeon. RNAcentral's name for it is "tRNA-Val". It matches the Rfam family "tRNA". Rfam says of the family: Transfer RNA (tRNA) molecules are approximately 80 nucleotides in length. The record is from RNAcentral. Lineage: Archaea; Thermoproteati; Thermoproteota; Thermoprotei; Desulfurococcales.